GAUGAAGAACGCAGCGAAAUGCGAUAAGUAAUGUGAAUUGCAGAAUUCAGUGAAUCAUCGAAUAUUUGAACGCACAUUGCGCCCGCCAGUAUUCUGGCGGGCAUGCCUGUUCGAGCGUCAUUUCAACCAUCAAGCCCCCGGCUUGUGUUGGGGACCUGCGGCUGCCGCAGGCCCUGAAAAGCAGUGGCGGGCUCGCUGUCACACCGAGCGUAGUAGCAUACAUCUCGCUCUGGGCGUGCUGCGGGUUCCGGCCGUUAAACCACCUUCAUAACCCAAGGUUGACCUCGGAUCAGGUAGGAAGACCCGCUGAACUUAAGCAUAUCAAUAAGCGGAGGA
Molecule: unclassified non-coding RNA, 336 nt
Filed under: soil metagenome
Description: partial contains 5.8S ribosomal RNA, internal transcribed spacer 2, and large subunit ribosomal RNA
Rfam family: 5.8S ribosomal RNA (bases 1-120)
Source: RNAcentral